GGCUCCUACGGGGGGCAGCAGUGAGGAAUAUUGGUCAAUGGGCGAGAGCCUGAACCAGCCAAGUCGCGUGAAGGAUGACGGCCCUAUGGGUUGUAAACUUCUUUUGUCAGGGAGCAAUUGGGUCCACGCGUGGGCUUAGCGAGAGUACCUGAAGAAAAAGCAUCGGCUAACUCCGUGCCAGCAGCCGCGGUAAUACGGAGGAUGCGAGCGUUAUCCGGAUUUAUUGGGUUUAAAGGGUGCGUAGGCGGAAUAUCAAGUCAGCGGUAAAAAUUCGGGGCUCAACCCCGUCGUGCCGUUGAAACGGA
This 305-nucleotide ribosomal RNA is filed under the name uncultured bacterium. Its description in RNAcentral is "bacterial SSU rRNA". It matches the Rfam family "Bacterial small subunit ribosomal RNA", at positions 334 to 636 of the family's 1533-position model. The record is from RNAcentral.